RNAcentral lists this ribosomal RNA (460 nucleotides) under uncultured bacterium. RNAcentral's name for it is "partial 16S ribosomal RNA". It matches the Rfam family "Bacterial small subunit ribosomal RNA", at positions 338 to 795 of the family's 1533-position model. The record is from RNAcentral.
CCUACGGGAGGCAGCAGUGAGGAAUAUUGGUCAAUGGACGCAAGUCUGAACCAGCCAUGCCGCGUGCAGGAAGACGGCUCUAUGAGUUGUACACUGCUUUUGUACGAGGGUAAACGCAGAUACGUGUAUCUGUCUGAAAGUAUCGUACGAAUAAGGAUCGGCUAACUCCGUGCCAGCAGCCGCGGUAAUACGGAGGAUUCAAGCGUUAUCCGGAUUUAUUGGGUUUAAAGGGUGCGUAGGCGGUCGGAUAAGUUAGAGGUGAAAUCCCGAGGCUCAACUUCGGAAUUGCCUUUGAAACUGUUCGGCUAGAGAGUAGUUGCGGUAGGCGGAAUGUAUGGUGUAGCGGUGAAAUGCUUAGAGAUCAUACAGAACACCGAUUGCGAAGGCAGCUUACCAGGCUACUUCUGACGUUGAGGCACGAAAGCGUGGGGAGCAAACAGGAUUAGAUACCCCUGUAGUC